UCCCGGGCCGAGGUCACGAAUGAUGGAGCCCCAUAAGAACCCAGGGAAUGUAAACGACGUCGUUGUUGGGAUUCGAUCCCGCGAUCUUCCGGCUUGUAAGAGGCUACGUAGAUCGCCGUUAAAUAAACCGUACACUAAUGGUUUCGCGGACCACCGUUAGAAGACCUCUACUGAAGUGCUCACGGGACAAGAAGCAGGGAAGUGCAGCAGACACUUGUUGCAAGAGAACGGCGUGUUGCAGUCUCUGUAUUGUUGGGAUGUCAGGCAAUGGUUCGAGAAGAAAGGGAAACCACCUAUGCCGCCAUUUGCCGCGGCAGUGCUUGAAAUUGGGGGAACCUUGAAGGAGCGAAUGUGUUCCUACAAGACGUUAGUAACCAAGAAUAGAAGGCCUCAUUAUGGAUCAUCAGUCACUCUU
Long non-coding RNA from Cryptotermes secundus, 415 nucleotides. RefSeq lists it as uncharacterized. The transcript is spliced from 4 exons. Lineage: Eukaryota; Metazoa; Arthropoda; Insecta; Blattodea; Kalotermitidae. The record is from RefSeq and is a predicted model, not a curated record.